Molecule: ribosomal RNA, 1171 nt
Filed under: uncultured Bacteroides sp.
Lineage: Bacteria; Pseudomonadati; Bacteroidota; Bacteroidia; Bacteroidales; Bacteroidaceae
Description: bacterial SSU rRNA
Rfam family: Bacterial small subunit ribosomal RNA
Source: RNAcentral
AGUUUGAUCCUGGCUCAGGAUGAACGCUAGCUACAGGCUUAACACAUGCAAGUCGAGGGGCAGCAUGGUCUUAGCUUGCUAAGGCUGAUGGCGACCGGCGCACGGGUGAGUAACACGUAUCCAACCUGCCGUCUACUCUUGGACAGCCUUCUGAAAGGAAGAUUAAUACAAGAUGGCAUCAUGAGUCCGCAUGUUCACAUGAUUAAAGGUAUUCCGGUAGACGAUGGGGAUGCGUUCCAUUAGAUAGUAGGCGGGGUAACGGCCCACCUAGUCUUCGAUGGAUAGGGGUUCUGAGAGGAAGGUCCCCCACAUUGGAACUGAGACACGGUCCAAACUCCUACGGGAGGCAGCAGUGAGGAAUAUUGGUCAAUGGGCGAGAGCCUGAACCAGCCAAGUAGCGUGAAGGAUGACUGCCCUAUGGGUUGUAAACUUCUUUUAUAAAGGAAUAAAGUCGGGUAUGGAUACCCGUUUGCAUGUACUUUAUGAAUAAGGAUCGGCUAACUCCGUGCCAGCAGCCGCGGUAAUACGGAGGAUCCGAGCGUUAUCCGGAUUUAUUGGGUUUAAAGGGAGCGUAGAUGGAUGUUUAAGUCAGUUGUGAAAGUUUGCGGCUCAACCGUAAAAUUGCAGUUGAUACUGGAUAUCUUGAGUGCAGUUGAGGCAGGCGGAAUUCGUGGUGUAGCGGUGAAAUGCUUAGAUAUCACGAAGAACUCCGAUUGCGAAGGCAGCCUGCUAAGCUGCAACUGACAUUGAGGCUCGAAAGUGUGGGUAUCAAACAGGAUUAGAUACCCUGGUAGUCCACACGGUAAACGAUGAAUACUCGCUGUUUGCGAUAUACAGCAAGCGGCCAAGCGAAAGCGUUAAGUAUUCCACCUGGGGAGUACGCCGGCAACGGUGAAACUCAAAGGAAUUGACGGGGGCCCGCACAAGCGGAGGAACAUGUGGUUUAAUUCGAUGAUACGCGAGGAACCUUACCCGGGCUUAAAUUGCAGAUGAAUUACGGUGAAAGCCGUAAGCCGCAAGGCAUCUGUGAAGGUGCUGCAUGGUUGUCGUCAGCUCGUGCCGUGAGGUGUCGGCUUAAGUGCCAUAACGAGCGCAACCCUUGUUGUCAGUUACUAACAGGUUCCGCUGAGGACUCUGACAAGACUGCCAUCGUAAGAUGUGAGGAAGGUGG